GCCAGUGUGGUGUAGUGGUUUGAGUGUUGGACUAUGACUCUGGAGACCAAGGUUCAGUUCCCUGCUCAGCCA
RNAcentral lists this transfer RNA (72 nucleotides) under Phrynosoma platyrhinos (Desert horned lizard). RNAcentral's name for it is "tRNA-OTHER". Lineage: Eukaryota; Metazoa; Chordata; Lepidosauria; Squamata; Phrynosomatidae. The record is from RNAcentral.